AUUGAACGCUGGCGGCAUGCCUUACACAUGCAAGUCGAACGGCAGCAUAGGAGCUUGCUCCUGAUGGCGAGUGGCGAACGGGUGAGUAAUAUAUCGGAACGUGCCCUAGAGUGGGGGAUAACUAGUCGAAAGACUAGCUAAUACCGCAUACGAUCUACGGAUGAAAGUGGGGGAUCGCAAGACCUCAUGCUCCUGGAGCGGCCGAUAUCUGAUUAGCUAGUUGGUGGGGUAAAAGCCUACCAAGGCGACGAUCAGUAGCUGGUCUGAUAGGACGACCAUGCUUUCCGGGCCGGUGACACGGCUCAGACGUCUAAGGGAGCAAGCGGUGGGUAAUAUUGGUCAGCGCGUGCAUACCUGACCCAUCCAUGCCGCCUGUGUGAAGGAGUCCUUAUGGUUGAAGAGCACCUUAAGCGAGGAGGAGGCGCUCUUGGUCAAUAUCCAAGAUAAGAGUACGUCACGCGCAGAAUAAGCGCCGGCUAAUUCUGGGCCAGCCGCCCGCCGUAA
RNAcentral lists this ribosomal RNA (504 nucleotides) under uncultured bacterium. Its description in RNAcentral is "partial 16S ribosomal RNA". It matches the Rfam family "Bacterial small subunit ribosomal RNA", at positions 30 to 523 of the family's 1533-position model. The record is from RNAcentral.